AGAUUGAACGCUGGCGGCAUGCCUAACACAUGCAAGUCGAACGGGAGUAGCAAUACUCUAGUGGCGGACGGGUGAGGAAUACGUAGGAAUUUGCCCUUAAGUGGGGGAUAACCCGGGGAAACCCGGAUUAAUACCGCAUGACCUCGAAAGAGCAAAGUGGGGGAUCGCAAGACCUCACGCUUUUGGAGAAGCCUACGUCGGAUUAGCUAGUUGGUGAGGUAAUGGCUCACCAAGGCGAACGAUCCGUAACUGGUCUGAGAGGAUGAUCAGUCACACCGGAACUGAGACACGGUCCGACUCCUACGGGAGGCAGCAGGUAGGGAAUAGUUGGAACAAGUGGGCGACAAGCCUGACUACCGAGCAAGU
RNAcentral lists this ribosomal RNA (366 nucleotides) under uncultured soil bacterium. RNAcentral's name for it is "bacterial SSU rRNA". It matches the Rfam family "Bacterial small subunit ribosomal RNA", at positions 26 to 397 of the family's 1533-position model. The record is from RNAcentral.